Molecule: ribosomal RNA, 526 nt
Filed under: Clostridioides difficile
Lineage: Bacteria; Bacillati; Bacillota; Clostridia; Peptostreptococcales; Peptostreptococcaceae
Description: bacterial LSU rRNA
Rfam family: Bacterial large subunit ribosomal RNA
Source: RNAcentral
UGGUCAAGUUAUUAAGGGUGCAGGGCGGAUGCCUUGGCACUAGGAGCCGAUGAAGGACGUGAUAAGCUGCGAUAAGCUUCGGGGAGUUGCACGUAAACUUUGAUCCGAAGAUUUCCGAAUGAGGAAACUCACUUAGAGUAAUGUCUAAGUAUCAUUAAGUGAAUACAUAGCUUAAUGAGGGGAACUCAGGGAACUGAAACAUCUAAGUACCUGAAGGAAGAGAAAGAAAUUCGAUUCCGUAAGUAGCGGCGAGCGAACGCGGAUUAGCCCAAACCAAUAAAGUUUUCUUUAUUGGGGUUGAGGACAUACCACAUAUAAGAGGUCAUUAUAGACGAAGAAGUUUGGAAAAACUCAUCAUAGAAGGUAAUAAUCCUGUAGUCAAAAUAAUAAUUCUUUAGGUAUGAUCCAGAGUACCACGGGACACGUGAAACCCUGUGGGAAGCAGGAGGGACCACCCUCCAAGGCUAAAUACUACCUAGUGACCGAUAGCGUAUAGUACCGUGAGGGAAAGGUGAAAAGAACCCCG